Molecule: ribosomal RNA, 305 nt
Filed under: uncultured bacterium
Lineage: Bacteria
Description: bacterial SSU rRNA
Rfam family: Bacterial small subunit ribosomal RNA
Source: RNAcentral
AUAGCCUACGGGACGCAGCAGUGAGGAAUAUUGGUCAAUGGGAGAGAUCCUGAACCAGCCAAGCCGCGUGAGGGAAGACGGCCCUAUGGGUUGUAAACCUCUUUUGUCGGAGAACAAAACCCGGGACGUGUCCCGGACUGCGUGUAUCCGAAGAAAAAGCAUCGGCUAACUCCGUGCCAGCAGCCGCGGUAAUACGGAGGGUGCGAGCGUUAAUCGGAAUCACUGGGCGUAAAGCGCGCGUAGGCGGCUUUUCAAGUCAGGGGUGAAAUCCCACGGCCCAACCGUGGAACUGCCUUUGAAACUGU